UGCUGUGGGGGUGAUCUGGCUAAGACAUCUGUCACCCACUGAUGGCCAGGAUUUACUUGGCCUAUUAGGCUGUCCCCUUGCUCCCUUGUCAUUCCAUGUGCUAUGCUCAUUUGGUCAGUAGAGGACAUUCAGAGCCUCAGAGCAACCUCAGGAACAUGAUGAUGGUGAGACAUUAGCUAGUAGAUUUGCAGUUCUGUCUGUAAAGAUUUCUAGUUCCAGAAUGCAAAAGUAAAUAAAUUUACUAGAUUUAACUUUAAAAAUCAUCUGUAACUUU
This 274-nucleotide small RNA is filed under the name Microcebus murinus (gray mouse lemur). RNAcentral describes it as "7SK RNA (ENSMICG00000025738.3)". The record is from RNAcentral. Lineage: Eukaryota; Metazoa; Chordata; Mammalia; Primates; Cheirogaleidae.